CAAGCUGCUUCCUCUUAGGAGGAGUUCCCAGCUCUCCUGGGGGAGCAAUGAAGGAGCAAAGUUUCCAGUUGCAGCCUGGCCUGCAGCCCAGCAGGCCUGGCCCCGCCUCCUUGGUUCCUCCUUCUAGGGAAGGGCUGGGGAGGAGGGGGUGGUGACACGGUGGAGGCACUGGCGGGCCAGGGGGGCCUGCCCUUGGGACAGGUCCAGACCCAUGGAGCCCCCUGGGAGGAGCAGCAGGUAGGAACCUGGGUCCCAUAGCCUGAUCCCCUUUCUCCCUGCCCAGGCCCAGACCCA
This 294-nucleotide long non-coding RNA is filed under the name Marmota monax (woodchuck). Lineage: Eukaryota; Metazoa; Chordata; Mammalia; Rodentia; Sciuridae. The record is from RNAcentral.